RNAcentral lists this ribosomal RNA (253 nucleotides) under uncultured bacterium. RNAcentral describes it as "partial 16S ribosomal RNA". It matches the Rfam family "Bacterial small subunit ribosomal RNA", at positions 524 to 776 of the family's 1533-position model. The record is from RNAcentral.
GACGGAGGGUGCAAGCGUUAUCCGGAAUGAUUGGGCGUAAAGCGUCCGCAGGUGGCAGUUCAAGUCUGCUGUCAAAGCCCGGGGCUUAACUUCGGAAAGGCAGUGGAAACUGAACAGCUAGAGUAUGGUAGGGGCAGAGGGAAUUCCUGGUGUAGCGGUGAAAUGCGUAGAGAUCAGGAAGAACAUCGGUGGCGAAGGCGCUCUGCUGGACCAUAACUGACACUCAGGGACGAAAGCUAGGGGAGCGAAUGGG